GCCCUUCCUCUAGCUCAAUUACCCUUUAACAUAAACCAAACAAUCUACUAUAACACCUAACCAAAACAUUUUUUACACCUAGUAUAGGCGAUAGAAAAGCUACUUGACGCAAUAGAGACAUUUUCGUACCGUAAGGGAAAGAUGAAAUAACAAUGAAAUACAUAAAAGCAAAAAAUAGCAAAGAUCAACCCUUGUACCUUUUGCAUCAUGAUUUAGCAAGAACAUCCAAGCACAAUGAAUUUAAGCUUGCUAUCCCGAAACCCAAGCGAGCUACUCACAAGCAGCUACCAUUGAGCAAACCCGUCUCUGUGGCAAAAGAGUGGGAAGACUUGUUAGUAGAGGUGAAAAGCCAAUCGAGCUGGGUGAUAGCUGGUUGCUUGUGAAACGAAUCUUAGUUCACCUCUAACUCUCCCCCACCAGACACCCAUCUUAAACCUAAUGUGGAAAGUUAGAAGUAAUUUAAAGGAGGUACAGCCCCUUUAAAAAAGAAGACAAUCUCUACCAGAGGGUAAUUUUAUCCAUUACGCCGAUACGUAGGCCCUAAAGCAGCCAUCAACAAAGAAUGCGUCAAAGCUCAGUUAACUCUAAAAAUCCAAAAACAUUACGAUCCCCUCACCACUAACAAGCCAACCUAUAAUCAUAGGAGAAUUAAUGCUAGAAUAAGUAACUAGAAGCCCCUUCUCUUAAGCGCAAACUUACAUCAUACAUCAUUAACAGACUAACUUAUACCACCACCUCAACAAGAACCAAUAUUAAACUACCCUGUUACCCCAACCCAGGAGCGCCUAUUAGAAAGAUUAAAAUCUGUAAAAGGAACUAGGCAAAUCUAGGGCUCGACUGUUUACCAAAAACAUAGCCUUCAGCUAACAGCAAGUAUUGAAGGUGAUGCCUGCCCAGUGACUCAUGUUCAACGGCCGCGGUAUCCUAACCGUGCAAAGGUAGCGCAAUCAAUUGUCCCAUAAAUCGAGACUUGUAUGAACGGCUAAACGAGGUCCUAACUGUCUCUUACAGAUAAUCAGUGAAAUUGAUCCUCUUGUGCAAAAGCAAGAAUAAAAACAUAAGACGAGAAGACCCUGUGGAACUUGAAAAUCAAGGACCAACGUAUCUAGCUUUCAAACCUACAAGGCUAACAACACUUACAACAGCUGGUCCCUAUUUUUCGGUUGGGGCGACCUUGGAGAAAAAAAGAACCUCCAAAAAUAAGACCACACACCUUGACUAAGAACAACCCCUCAAAGUACUAAUAGUAACCAGACCCAAUACAAUUGAUUAAUGAACGAAGCUACCCCAGGGAUAACAGCGCAAUCUCCUUCAAGAGCCCAUAUCGACAAGGAGGUUUACGACCUCGAUGUUGGAUCAGGACAUCCUAAUGGUGUAGCCGCUAUUAAGGGUUCGUUUGUUCAACGAUUAACAGUCCUACGUGAUCUGAGUUCAGACCGGAGCAAUCCAGGUCGGUUUCUAUCUAUGUAACACUCUUCCCAGUACGAAAGGACCGGAAAAGUAAGGCCUAUACCAAACAGCACGCCUUCUUUCUAAUUAGUGAAAUCAACUUAACUAACAAGAACCUCUCCCCAUCAUCCCCUAGAAAAGGGCUA
This 1595-nucleotide ribosomal RNA is filed under the name Apteryx rowi (Okarito brown kiwi). Its description in RNAcentral is "16S ribosomal RNA". It matches the Rfam family "Bacterial large subunit ribosomal RNA", at positions 371 to 2831 of the family's 2925-position model. The record is from RNAcentral. Lineage: Eukaryota; Metazoa; Chordata; Aves; Apterygiformes; Apterygidae.